RNAcentral lists this ribosomal RNA (350 nucleotides) under uncultured bacterium. RNAcentral describes it as "bacterial SSU rRNA". It matches the Rfam family "Bacterial small subunit ribosomal RNA", at positions 30 to 380 of the family's 1533-position model. The record is from RNAcentral.
AUUGAACGCUGGCGUGCAGCCUAACACAUGCAAGUCGAGCGCGAAAGCCCUUCGGGGUGAGUAGAGCGGCGGACGGGUGAGUAACGCGUAGGAAUCUACCUGGUAGUGGGGGACAACAUGGGGAAACUCAUGCUAAUACCGCAUACGCCCUACGUGGGGAAAGCGGGGGACCUUCGGGCCUCGUGCUAUCAGAUGAGCCUGCGUUGGAUUAGCUUGUUGGUGAGGUAAAGGCUCACCAAGGCGACGAUCCAUAGCUGGUCUAGAGAGGAUGAUCAGCCACACCGGGACUGAGACACGGCCCGGACUCCUACGGGAGGGCAGCAGUGGGGAAUAUUGCGCAAUGGGCGAAA